RNAcentral lists this ribosomal RNA (739 nucleotides) under Lacticaseibacillus rhamnosus. RNAcentral's name for it is "bacterial SSU rRNA". It matches the Rfam family "Bacterial small subunit ribosomal RNA", at positions 65 to 791 of the family's 1533-position model. The record is from RNAcentral. Lineage: Bacteria; Bacillati; Bacillota; Bacilli; Lactobacillales; Lactobacillaceae.
UGCUUGCAUCUUGAUUUAAUUUUGAACGAGUGGCGGACGGGUGAGUAACACGUGGGUAACCUGCCCUUAAGUGGGGGAUAACAUUUGGAAACAGAUGCUAAUACCGCAUAAAUCCAAGAACCGCAUGGUUCUUGGCUGAAAGAUGGCGUAAGCUAUCGCUUUUGGAUGGACCCGCGGCGUAUUAGCUAGUUGGUGAGGUAACGGCUCACCAAGGCAAUGAUACGUAGCCGAACUGAGAGGUUGAUCGGCCACAUUGGGACUGAGACACGGCCCAAACUCCUACGGGAGGCAGCAGUAGGGAAUCUUCCACAAUGGACGCAAGUCUGAUGGAGCAACGCCGCGUGAGUGAAGAAGGCUUUCGGGUCGUAAAACUCUGUUGUUGGAGAAGAAUGGUCGGCAGAGUAACUGUUGUCGGCGUGACGGUAUCCAACCAGAAAGCCACGGCUAACUACGUGCCAGCAGCCGCGGUAAUACGUAGGUGGCAAGCGUUAUCCGGAUUUAUUGGGCGUAAAGCGAGCGCAGGCGGUUUUUUAAGUCUGAUGUGAAAGCCCUCGGCUUAACCGAGGAAGUGCAUCGGAAACUGGGAAACUUGAGUGCAGAAGAGGACAGUGGAACUCCAUGUGUAGCGGUGAAAUGCGUAGAUAUAUGGAAGAACACCAGUGGCGAAGGCGGCUGUCUGGUCUGUAACUGACGCUGAGGCUCGAAAGCAUGGGUAGCGAACAGGAUUAGAUACCCUGGU